GAUGAACGCUGGCGGCGUGCCUAAUACAUGCAAGUCGAGCGAACGGACGAGAAGCUUGCUUCUCUGAUGUUAGCGGCGGACGGGUGAGUAACAUGUGGAUAACCUACCUAUAAGACUGGGAUAACUUCGGGAAACCGGAGCUAAUACCGGAUAAUAUUUUGAACCGCAUGGUUCAAAAGUGAAUGACGGUCUUUCUGUCACUUAUAGAUGCAUCCGCGCUGCAUUAGCUAGUUGGUAAGGUAAGGGCUUACCAAGGCAGGGAUGCAUAGCCGACCUGAGAGGGUGCACGGCCACACUGGAACGGAGACACGGUCCAAACUCCUAAGGGAGGCAGCAGUAGGGAAUCUUCCGCAAUGGGCGGGAGCCUGACGGAGCAACGCCGCGUGAGUGAUGGAGAUCUUCGGAUCGUGAAAAUCUGUUAUUAGGGAUGAACAGCUGUGUAAGUAGCUGAGCACAUCUUGACGGUACCUAAUCAAAAAGCCACGGCUAACUACGUG
Molecule: ribosomal RNA, 497 nt
Filed under: uncultured bacterium
Lineage: Bacteria
Description: partial 16S ribosomal RNA
Rfam family: Bacterial small subunit ribosomal RNA
Source: RNAcentral